UUUUUCCCUCUAUUUUCAAAGUGCCCCUUUUUACCAAAUGCCCAAAUUCCCCUCAUUUCCCUCUUCUCAUAGACCCCUCCUCCAAUUUCCUUCUUCUUGCAAACCUCUCCCCUGACGCCGCUACCAUCCAAACAUCGUCAUCGACUCACUGUGCUUUUCAUCGAACAACUCCCUGGUUGCCGAACUAGUUGUUGAAUCGCUGCACCAGAUAGGCAUUGAACAAGGCGGACCGAGCACCAGGGUGGUGCUGCACACAAAGGAGGUUGGGGUGCCAAGAGGCAUGUGAUGUGCAUGGUGAGCAACGUACAAGGCAUGCCAUGCGCUCGCGGCCACCAAGCAUGCAACAACAAAGCACAUAGUUAUGCACACACGUGGUUAGGAUGCGGCCCAAGGCCCUUGCAAGUGCGCGCCAAGGCUGCCGCCCAUGCGUGCGCGCCAACCCAGCCCAUAUGCCUUUUUUAGCUUUUUUUUUUUUUUUUUGUAGUAUUUUGGCAAUUUUUCCUUGGAGAUUGGAUGUUUUCUUAAUGAGAAGAUAUUUUUUAAGGAUAAAUAUAGUUAUUUCAGGACAAGAAGUGGUUGAUGAAAGUAAUGUUUUGUAUAUGAAAGUAUGGAUGUUUUCAAAAUGUUGAUAUAUUUAUGGUGAAAUGUUAAUAUAUUUUAAAGA
This is a long non-coding RNA of Cucumis sativus (cucumber), 664 nucleotides long. RefSeq lists it as uncharacterized. Lineage: Eukaryota; Viridiplantae; Streptophyta; Magnoliopsida; Cucurbitales; Cucurbitaceae. The transcript is spliced from 2 exons. The record is from RefSeq and is a predicted model, not a curated record.